Molecule: ribosomal RNA, 497 nt
Filed under: uncultured bacterium
Lineage: Bacteria
Description: partial 16S ribosomal RNA
Rfam family: Bacterial small subunit ribosomal RNA
Source: RNAcentral
GAUGAACGCUGGCGGCGUGCCUAAUACAUGCAAGUCGAGCGAACAGAUGAGGAGCUUGCUCCUCUGACGUUAUCGGCGGACGGGUGAUUAACACGUGGAUAACCUACCUAUAAGACUGGGAUAACUUCGGGAAACCGGAGCUAAUACCGGAUAAUAUAUUGAACCGCAUGGUUCAAUAGUGAAAUACGGUUUUGCUGUCACUUAUAGAUGGAUCCGCGCCGCAUUAGCUAGUUGGUAAGGUAACGGCUUACCAAGGCAACGAUGCGUAGCCGACCUGAGAGGGUGGUCGGCCACACUGGCACUGAGACACGGUCCAGACUCCUACGGGAGGCAGCAGUAGGGACUCUUACGCGAUGGGCGAAAGCCUGACGGAGCAAAGCCGCGUGAGUGAUGAAGGUCUUCGGAUCGGAAAACUCUGUUAUCAGGGAAGAACAAAUGUGUAAGUAACUAUGCUCGUCUUGACGGUACCUAAUCAGAAAGCUACGGCUAACUACGUG